UUUUUUUCUCAGCACACACUUUGAUUACCAUGUCAGUACUAAUCAACUAGCACUAAUACAUUAGUGGUUUUAUGUACUUCGUGCAUUACUGCUAGUCCCCAUUAAUAAUAUAUA
RNAcentral lists this non-coding RNA (114 nucleotides) under Callithrix jacchus (white-tufted-ear marmoset). Its description in RNAcentral is "Mitochondrial DNA control region secondary structure A". It matches the Rfam family "Mitochondrial DNA control region secondary structure A". The record is from Rfam by way of RNAcentral. Lineage: Eukaryota; Metazoa; Chordata; Mammalia; Primates; Cebidae.